UCUGCUGCUUCACAAUUUCUGAAAGGAAGAAAAUGAAAAUGGAUCUUCGCAAAUUCACCGUCAAACGUCAGUGUCUGCCAUGGCAGCUUCAACUUGCCGUCACUACACUUCUGUUCUUAGCAGUUAGUUCACUUGGAUCUCCUAUCGAAACUCGCAAAAGUGGAAGAUCGUCUGUAUUCUCACUAUUUAACCUCAAAGAAAAGAGUCGAUUUUGGAGUGAGGAUGUUAUACAUAAUGAUUUUGAUGAUUUAAAGUUUUCAAGCCAUGGCAAAGUAAGCGCAUUUAAUUAUACCAAUGCAGGUAACAUUGCUAACUAUCUAAAGCUUCAGGAAGUUGAUUCCAUCCACUUUCCCGUUCCUAUGAAUUUUAUAUUUAUAGGAUUUGAGGGGAAGGGCAACCACGAAUUCAAGCUUCUUCCAGAAGAAAUUGAGCGUUGGUUUACAAAAAUUGAUCACAUCUUUGAACACACUCGGAUUCGACAUGAAGAAGUUUUUACAGCAUUUUACAAAACCAGUAUGGAUAAAAUGCGAUGGCACCACCUUCCUGUUGUCAGUCACAUAAAUUACAACUUUUCUGUUCAUGCUAUUGAAAUGGGAGAGAAGGUUACUUCCAUAUUUGACCAGGCCAUAAAUGUGUUUGGUCGCAAGGAUGAUCCAGUGGGCAGCCAGGACAAUAGUGGUGGUUGGCAAGUAGAUGUGGACAUGAUAGAUGGUCUUUUGGCUAGCCUAGUUGAAUACCUUCAACUUGAAAAUGCAUAUAAUAUUUUUAUUUUAAAUCCCAAACGUGAUGAGAAGAAGCCUAAAUAUGGGUAUCGGAGAGGUUUAUCAGAGCUCGAAAUAAACUUGCUAAAGCAGAAUAAGAGUUUGCAAAUGAAGCUUCUUCAGUCAGAAGACAUUCCUGAAAAUAUUCUUGCUCUUAAUAAGAUUCAGCGACCAUUAUAUGUAAAGCAUCCAAUGAUGAAAUUUGCAUGGACAAGAACUGAGGACACUGAUAUUGCAGAAUGGUAUAAUUUUUGGCUUGAAGCACUAGAUAAUUUUGGGAGGUUGUGUCAAGGGAGAGACACAGCUGAGAUCAUUCAGGUCAAAGCAUUACAGUUACUAAAAGGGAAGGAUCAAGACUUGAAGCUCCUUUUGGAAAAAGUAUUAAAAUCUGGAGACUACAAUGGUUUUCAGGCUGAAUGUCUCACAGACACAUGGAUUGGAAAGGACAGAUGGGCAUUUAUUGAUUUAAGUGCUGGUCCUUUUUCAUGGGGACCUGCUGUUGGUGGAGAAGGUGUGCGUACAGAAGCAAGCUUACCAAGUGUCGAAAAGACAAUUGGUACAACUUCAGAAAUCUCAGAAGAAGAAGCUGAAGACCGAUUGCAAGAUGCUAUUCAGGAGAAAUUUGCUGUAUUUGGUGAUAAAGAUCACCAGGCCAUUGAUAUUCUUUUAGCUGAGAUUGAUAUAUAUGAGCUUUUUGCUUUUAAACACUGCAAGGGAAGGAAAGUCAAACUUGCUCUUUGUGAAGAACUUGAUGAGAGGAUGCGGGAUUUGAGAAAUGAGCUACAGUCAUUUGAAGGUGAAGAAUACGAUGAAAGUCAUAAGAAAAAGGCUCUAGAGGCAUUAAAGCGAAUGGAGAGCUGGAAUUUAUUCAGUGACACAUAUGAAGAGUUCCAAAAUUACACAGUUGUACGUGAUUCUUUUCUUGCACAUCUAGGUGCAACACUCUGGGGAUCUAUGAGACAUAUUGUGUCACCUUCAGUUGCGGAUGGUGCUUUUCACUAUUAUGAGAAGAUAUCGUUUCAGUUGUUUUUCAUGACGCAAGAGAAAGUUAGGCACAUCAAACAGCUUCCUGUGGAUAUGAAGGUUAUAAUGGAUGGGCUUUCCUCAUUGAUGGUUCCGUCUCAAAAACCGAUGUUCAGUCAACACAUGUUACCUCUGUCAGAGGAUCCUGCCUUAGCAAUGGCCUUCUCAGUUGCUCGACGAGCAGCUGCUGUGCCCUUACUUCUUGUCAACGGAACCUAUCGAAAGACGAUUCGUACCUAUCUUGAUUCUUCCAUUCUGCAAUACCAACUGCGAAGGCUGAAUAAACAUGGUUCUCUUAAAGGUAGGCAUGCACAUUCCAGUUCCGUGCUAGAGGUUCCAGUCUUUUGGUUCAUUUACAAUGAACCACUUUUACUAGACAAAUAUUUUCAGGCAAAAGCGCUAUCUGAUAUGAUUAUUGUCGUUCAGUCAGAACCUUCUUCCUGGGAAAGCCAUCUACAUUGUAAUGGGCACUCACUUCUACUGAACUUGAGGCAGCCUAUAAAAGCUGCAGUCGCUGCUACUGCUGAGCAUCUUGCUGGUUUACUUCCCCUUCAUCUCGUAUAUGGUCAGGCCCAUGAGACUGCAAUUGAGGACUGGUUAUGGUCGGUAGGAUGCAACCCUUUCUCCAUUACAUCACAAGGCUGGCACAUUUCACAGUUUCAGUCUGAUUCAAUUGCUAGGAGUUAUAUCAUCACUACGCUUGAAGAGUCAAUAGAACUGGUUAAUUCUGCCAUUCAUCUUCUGUUAAUGGAGCGUACCAAAAUAUUGUAGGGCCUUUAUUUUCCUUGAGACAAGAGAUGAGUUAUCUGUAUGAAUUCUUAACAAAAUAAAGCUGAAAAAACUUUCGUGAUCUUCCAGUCCCAGGAGCAUGAGCUUGUAAACAAGUACAAUUAUGUUGUUAGCCUUUGGAAAAGGGUAUCAACUGUCACUGGGGAACUGCGCUAUGCUGAUGCAUUGAGGUUACUAAACACCUUGGAGGAUGCAUCCAAAAGGUUUAAUGAUCAAGUUAAUGCGACACUUGCCCUUCUCCAUCCGAUUAACUGCACCAGAGAGAGAAAAAUACAUAUGGUGUUUGAUAUGACAACGUUUCCAGCUUUCUUGAUUGUUCUAGGGUGCCUUUAUAUGGUAUUGAGGCCAAGGCAACCAAAACCAAAGAUUAAUUAGAGGUUUCAAAUCGCCGUUAUGAAUUUUAAUUAAUGUAGGAUUAUUACAAGGAUUUUCCGUGUUGGCAAGUACAAGGGAUUGAGGUGAGGAUUUACAA
This is an RNA transcript of Abrus precatorius (Indian licorice), 3045 nucleotides long. RefSeq lists it as uncharacterized. The record is from RefSeq and is a predicted model, not a curated record. The transcript has 25 exons. NCBI's taxonomy places the organism in Eukaryota, Viridiplantae, Streptophyta, Magnoliopsida, Fabales, Fabaceae.